RNAcentral lists this ribosomal RNA (433 nucleotides) under uncultured bacterium. Its description in RNAcentral is "partial 16S ribosomal RNA". It matches the Rfam family "Bacterial small subunit ribosomal RNA", at positions 29 to 507 of the family's 1533-position model. The record is from RNAcentral.
AACGAACGCUGGCGGCAUGCCUAACACAUGCAAGUCGAACGAGACCUUCGGGUCUAGUGGCGCACGGGUGCGUAACGCGUGGGAACCUGCCCUUAGGUUCGGAAUAACUCCCCGAAAGGGGUGGUAAUACCGGAUAAUGUCUUCGGACCAAAGAUUUAUCGCCUUUGGAUGGGCCCGCGUUGGAUUAGCUAGGUGGUAGGGUAAAAGCCUACAAAGGCGACGAUCCAUAGCUGGUCUGAGAGGAUGAUCAGCCACACUGGGACUGAGACACGGCGCAGACUCCUACGGGAGGAAGCAGUGGGGAAUAUUGGACAACGGGCGAAAGCCUGAUGCAGCAAUGCCGCGUGAGUGAUGAAGGACUUAGGGUUGUAAAGCUCUGUUACCCGGGAUGAUAAUGACAGUACCGGGAGAAUAAGCUCCGGCUAACUACGUG